GACGAACGCUGGCGGCGUGCUUAACACAUGCAAGUCGAACGGAAAGGCCCCUUUGGGGGUACUCGAGUGGCGAACGGGUGGGUAACACGUGAGUAACCUGCCCUUGACUUCGGGAUAACUUCAGGAAACUGGGGCGAAUACCGGAUAGGAAUCCUUGCUGCAUGGUGGGGGUUGGAAAGCUUCGGCGGUUUUGGAUGGACUCGCGGCUUAUCAGCUUGUUGGUGGGGUAGUGGCUUACCAAGGCUUUGACGGGUAGCCGGCCUGAGAGGGCGACCGGCCACAUUGGGACUGAGAUACGGCCCAGACGCCUACGGGAGGAAGCAGUGGGGAAUAGUGCACAAUGGGCGGAAGCCUGAUGCAGCAAGGCCGCGUGCGGGAUGACGGCCUUCGGGUUGUAAACCGCUUUCAGCAGGGGCGAAGCUUGUGGUGACGGUACCUGCAGAAGAAGCACCGGCUAACUACGUG
RNAcentral lists this ribosomal RNA (465 nucleotides) under uncultured bacterium. RNAcentral describes it as "partial 16S ribosomal RNA". It matches the Rfam family "Bacterial small subunit ribosomal RNA", at positions 28 to 507 of the family's 1533-position model. The record is from RNAcentral.